GCGUCCUUGUGUUGUUUGCCGACUGUUUUUAUUCAAAGUCUGUGAUUGUCAGAAAGGACCAAUAUUAAAUUCCAUUUCCUUUUCCAGAGGAAAGUGUUUUUGUAACGUUUUCUCUUCAGAAAAAUGGAACACAU
This 134-nucleotide small nucleolar RNA is filed under the name Megaselia scalaris. RNAcentral describes it as "small nucleolar RNA psi18S-1377". Lineage: Eukaryota; Metazoa; Arthropoda; Insecta; Diptera; Phoridae. The record is from RNAcentral.